AGCAGGAGGACUGGGUAGGGCUCUGAGGAGUAUCCAAAGAAUCUGAAAUAAAAGGCUUUGAAGAAAAAUGUCAGAGAUGAGGAAAUUAAAGCACAGGGAGGUUAGAAGCUUACAUUUUCCAAGCUGGGCAGCUAAAGCUGUUCCUUCAUUCUCCACAUCUGAUGGGGAGGGGAAGCAAGCACCUGCUUGCACAGUCAAAGCCAGCAUUGCUUCUCCCAAGCCAGCUGGCCAGGGUGCCAUGCCGGGUAUGUACUCCUUCCUCUCUACAGAUCAAAUGCAUCAAGCCUACUGUGAGAGAGGUCUCUGGCAGCCCAGGAUCCAGGGCCCAGCUUUCUGCAAUUCCACAGCUGUGGAAUCUGGCUGCAAAAUAGCCUCCCUGCUGAAGAAUUCAUCAAUUUUGCUCAAAGGAGUGGAAAGAGUAAUUCCCUAUGUUGAGAUCCAGGGUAUCCAGCAUUAA
This 457-nucleotide long non-coding RNA is filed under the name Anas platyrhynchos platyrhynchos (common mallard). Its description in RNAcentral is "lncRNA (ENSAPLG00000022971.1)". The record is from RNAcentral. Lineage: Eukaryota; Metazoa; Chordata; Aves; Anseriformes; Anatidae.